Molecule: ribosomal RNA, 229 nt
Filed under: uncultured bacterium
Lineage: Bacteria
Description: partial 16S ribosomal RNA
Rfam family: Bacterial small subunit ribosomal RNA
Source: RNAcentral
UCCGUAGGUGGAUAAUUAAGUCAGAGGUGAAAUCCUGCAGCUCAACUGUAGAAUUGCCUUUGAUACUGGUUAUCUUGAGUCAUUAUGAAGUGGUUAGAAUGUGUAGUGUAGCGGUGAAAUGCAUAGAUAUUACACAGAAUACCGAUUGCGAAGGCAGAUCACUAAUAAUGUACUGACACUGAUGGACGAAAGCGUGGGGAGCGAACCGGAUUAGUUACCCGAGUAGUCC